This 69-nucleotide transfer RNA is filed under the name Ischnocnema venancioi. RNAcentral's name for it is "tRNA-Val". Lineage: Eukaryota; Metazoa; Chordata; Amphibia; Anura; Brachycephalidae. The record is from RNAcentral.
CUAAGUAUAGCUUAUCUAAAGCAUUCCAUUUACACUGGAAAAAAGCCCAUUAAACCUGAGCUACUUAGA